Molecule: ribosomal RNA, 443 nt
Filed under: uncultured bacterium
Lineage: Bacteria
Description: partial 16S ribosomal RNA
Rfam family: Bacterial small subunit ribosomal RNA
Source: RNAcentral
CCUACGGGUGGCAGCAGUGGGGAAUAUUGGUCAAUGGGCGCAAGCCUGACCCAGCAACGCCGCGUGAUGGAAGAAGGCUUUCGGGUUGUAAACUUCUUUUCUUAGGGACGAAGCAAGGGACGGUACCCGAGGAUUAAGUCUCCGCUAUCUACGUGCCAGCAGCCGCGUUAAUACGUAGGUGGCAAGCGUUAACCGGAUUUACUGGGUGUAAAGGGAGUGUAGGUGGGAUUGCAAGUACGAUGUGAAAUUCACGGGAUCAACCUGUGCCGUGGAUUUGAUACUGUAGUUCUUGAGUACUGGAGAGGCAGACGGAAUUCAUAGUGUAGCGGUGAAAUGCGUAGAUAUUAGGAGGAACACCAGUGGCGAAGGCGGUCUGCUGGACAGCAACUGACGCUGAGGCGCGAAAGCGUGGGGAGCAAACAGGAUUAGAUACCCGAGUAGUC